ACGCACGCUGGCGGCGUGCUUAACACAUGCAAGUCGAACGGAAAGGCCCUGCUUUUGUGGGGUGCUCGAGUGGCGAACGGGUGAGUAACACGUGAGUAACCUGCCCUUGACUUUGGGAUAACUUCAGGAAACUGGGGCUAAUACCGGAUAGGGGCUCCUGCUGCAUGGUGGGGGUUGGAAAGUUUCGGCGGUUGGGGAUGGACUCGCGGCUUAUCAGCUUGUUGGUGGGGUAGUGGCUUACCAAGGCUUUGACGGGUAGCCGGCCUGAGAGGGUGACCGGCCACAUUGGGACUGAGAUACGGCCCAGACUCCUACGGGAGGCAGCAGUGGGGAAUAUUGCACAAUGGGCGGAAGCCUGAUGCAGCAACGCCGCGUGCGGGAUGACGGCCUUCGGGUUGUAAACCGCUUUCGCCUGUGACGAAGCGUGAGUGACGGUAAUGGGUAAAGAAGCACCGGCUAACUACGUG
RNAcentral lists this ribosomal RNA (467 nucleotides) under uncultured bacterium. RNAcentral's name for it is "partial 16S ribosomal RNA". It matches the Rfam family "Bacterial small subunit ribosomal RNA", at positions 29 to 507 of the family's 1533-position model. The record is from RNAcentral.